ACGGUGCCUCUGGCAGAUUCCUCCCCCUCAUCAGCUACACCUGGUACCUCCAGCUGCGCCUCCUCAACCUCGUCAGCCGGCAGACUCUUAAGGAGACCUCGGACCUGUAAUCAACGCUAGUUCGUUGUACUCCCACGGAUCUCGCCCUCACGAGUUACUCCACUGGUUGCUGUCCACCUCUCGCUCCAUCGCCCUCCUGGCUACCAUCACGGAUCAUACGGUUGUCGCCGCCAAGACCCUCCAACCAACACCUCUGGCCUCCACAGAAGAACCUGGGACUCAAUAUUAUUCCUGCAGUUAAAAUUAAACCUUUAUUACUCACCUCA
This is a non-coding RNA of Oryzias latipes (Japanese medaka), 326 nucleotides long. The record is from RefSeq and is a predicted model, not a curated record. Lineage: Eukaryota; Metazoa; Chordata; Actinopteri; Beloniformes; Adrianichthyidae.